UCCAGACAAGCAACAGUUAUCCAUGAAGCUGUAGUCAGAGAGACUGUGGAUGAUGGGUUGUCUCGUGGUCACCGGGGUUCUUCUUGUGAUUCUACUGUUCCAUCCUCCAGCAGCUCAGAUGGAGAGCCCAGAUACAGACGUGGAGGCCGUGAGAUUCGAAGAGUUUUGUCUGAAAAUCUCUGAUGAUUCGCACUGUACAACCGCUGAACCAGAGCCCAGACAAACGGUUACCAACAAGGAGGCAGCUGAGAGCACACAACUGGCAAUGUCUUCCCCGUCGGACGACAAGGAAGAUAUAAACUCCACUCGUCAACUGGCUGUCAAUUCUUCAUCACUUGUGGCAAACUUCAUGGGCAUCCCACCAGGCCAUGGGGAACUGGGGCCGAUAGAGAGGAAAGGGUGUCACUGCAAGACGUGGCAGGAACACACAACUGACCGG
Oncorhynchus tshawytscha (Chinook salmon) is the source of this 439-nucleotide long non-coding RNA. The record is from Ensembl. Lineage: Eukaryota; Metazoa; Chordata; Actinopteri; Salmoniformes; Salmonidae.